AAGCGGGAAGAGCUCAAAUUUAUAAUCUGGCACCUUCGGUGUCCGAGUUGUAAUCUCUAGAAAUGUUUUCCGCGCUGGACCGCACACAAGUCUGUUGGAAUACAGCGGCAUAGUGGUGAGACCCCCGUAUAUGGUGCGGACGCCCAGCGCUUUGUGAUACAUUUUCGAAGAGUCGAGUUGUUUGGGAAUGCAGCUCAAAUUGGGUGGUAAAUUCCAUCUAAAGCUAAAUAUUGGCGAGAGACCGAUAGCGAACAAGUACCGUGAGGGAAAGAUGAAAAGCACUUUGGAAAGAGAGUUAACAGUACGUGAAAUUGUUGGAAGGGAAACGCUUGAAGUCAGACUUGCUUGCCGAGCAAUCGGUUUGCAGGCCAGCAUCAGUUUUCCGGGAUGGAUAAUGGUAGAGAGAAGGUAGCAGUUUCGGCUGUGUUAUAGCUCUCUGCUGGAUACAUCUUGGGGGACUGAGGAACGCAGUGUGCCUUUGGCGGGGGUUUCGACCUCUUCACACUUAGGAUGCUGGUGGAAUGGCUUUAAACGACCCGUCUUGAAACACGGACCAAGGAGUCUAACAUGCUUGCGAGUAUUUGGGUGUCAAACCCGGAUGCGUAAUGAAAGUGAAUGGAGGUGGGAACCGCAAGGUGCACCAUCGACCGAUCUGGAUUUUUAAUGAUGGAUUUGAGUAAGAGCACGUAUGUUGGGACCCGAAAGAUGGUGAACUAUGCCUGAAUAGGGCGAAGCCAGAGGAAACUCUGGUGGAGGCUCGUAGCGGUUCUGACGUGCAAAUCGAUCGUCAAAUUUGGGUAUAGGGGCGAAAGACUAAUCGAACCAUCUAGUAGCUGGUUCCUGCC
This 845-nucleotide ribosomal RNA is filed under the name Rhodotorula mucilaginosa. RNAcentral describes it as "LSU rRNA". It matches the Rfam family "Eukaryotic large subunit ribosomal RNA", at positions 96 to 962 of the family's 3401-position model. Lineage: Eukaryota; Fungi; Basidiomycota; Microbotryomycetes; Sporidiobolales; Sporidiobolaceae. The record is from RNAcentral.